AGUGAACGCUGGCGGUAGGCCUAACACAUGCAAGUCGAACGGCAGCACAGGAGAGCUUGCUCUCUGGGUGGCGAGUGGCGGACGGGUGAGGAAUACAUCGGAAUCUACUCUGUCGUGGGGGAUAACGUAGGGAAACUUACGCUAAUACCGCGUACGACCUACGGGUGAAAGCAGGGGACCUUCGGGCCUUGCGCGAUUGAAUGAGCCGAUGUCGGAUUAGCUAGUUGGCGGGGUAAAGGCCCACCAAGGCGACGAUCCGUAGCUGGUCUGAGGGGCUGAUCAGCCACACUGGAACUGAGACUCGGUCCAGACUCCUACGGGAGGCAGCAGUGGGGAAUAUUGGACAAUGGGCGCAAGCCUGAUCCAGCCAUACCGCGUGGGUGAAGAAGGCCUUCGGGUUGUAAAGCCCUUUUGUUGGGAAAGAAAUCCAGCUGGCUAAUACCCGGUUGGGAUGACGGUACCCAAAGAAUAAGCACCGGCUAACUUCGUGCCAGCCGCCGCCGUAA
RNAcentral lists this ribosomal RNA (506 nucleotides) under uncultured bacterium. RNAcentral describes it as "partial 16S ribosomal RNA". It matches the Rfam family "Bacterial small subunit ribosomal RNA", at positions 29 to 523 of the family's 1533-position model. The record is from RNAcentral.